GUGCCAGCAGCCGCGGUAAUACGUAGGUGGCAAGCGUUGUCCGGAUUUAUUGGGCGUAAAGCGAGCGCAGGCGGUUUCUUAAGUCUGAUGUGAAAGCCUUCGGCUCAACCGAAGAAGUGCAUCGGAAACUGGGAAACUUGAGUGCAGAAGAGGACAGUGGAACUCCAUGUGUAGCGGUGAAAUGCGUAGAUAUAUGGAAGAACACCAGUGGCGAAGGCGGCUGUCUGGUCUGUAACUGACGCUGAGGCUCGAAAGCAUGGGUAGCAAACAGGAUUAGAUACCCUGGUAGUCCAUGCCGUAAACGAUGAGUGCUAGGUGUUGGAGGGUUUCCGCCCUUCAGUGCCGCAGCUAACGCAUUAAGCACUCCGCCUGGGGAGUACGACCGCAAGGUUGAAACUCAAAGGAAUUGACGGGGGCCCGCACAAGCGGUGGAGCAUGUGGUUUAAUUCGAAGCAACGCGAAGAACCUUACCAGGUCUUGACAUCCUUUGACCACUCUAGAGAUAGAGCUUUCCCUUCGGGGACGAAGUGACAGGUGGUGCAUGGUUGUCGUCAGCUCGUGUCGUGAGAUGUUGGGUUAAGUCCCGCAACGAGCGCAACCCUUAUUACUAGUUGCCAGCAUUUAGUUGGGCACUCUAGUGAGACUGCCGGUGACAAACCGGAGGAAGGUGGGGACGACGUCAAAUCAUCAUGCCCCUUAUGACCUGGGCUACACACGUGCUACAAUGGAUGGUACAACGAGUUGCGAGACCGCGAGGUUUAGCUAAUCUCUUAAAACCAUUCUCAGUUCGGAUUGUAGGCUGCAACUCGCCUACAUGAAGCCGGAAUCGCUAGUAAUCGCGGAUCAGCAUGCCGCGGUGAAUACGUUCCCGGGCCUUGUACACACCGCCCGU
RNAcentral lists this ribosomal RNA (892 nucleotides) under uncultured bacterium. Its description in RNAcentral is "bacterial SSU rRNA". It matches the Rfam family "Bacterial small subunit ribosomal RNA", at positions 505 to 1397 of the family's 1533-position model. The record is from RNAcentral.